Small nucleolar RNA from Nematolebias whitei (Rio pearlfish), 71 nucleotides. RefSeq annotates it as small nucleolar RNA SNORD75. The transcript has a single exon. Lineage: Eukaryota; Metazoa; Chordata; Actinopteri; Cyprinodontiformes; Rivulidae. The record is from RefSeq and is a predicted model, not a curated record.
AGUCAAUGAUUAAAAUCAUGUGUAAGAGUAGUGGACAGAAGAGAUUUCUGAGGAAUCACUGAUAUGAGACU